This 116-nucleotide microRNA precursor is filed under the name Medicago truncatula (barrel medic). RNAcentral's name for it is "MIR5284 microRNA precursor family". It matches the Rfam family "MIR5284 microRNA precursor family". Lineage: Eukaryota; Viridiplantae; Streptophyta; Magnoliopsida; Fabales; Fabaceae. The record is from Rfam by way of RNAcentral.
CUAUAAUUUCAGAUUCCUCCACUUUUGGUCCCUCAUUUCAUUUUACGUAUCAUGUAUGCAGAUUCUGCUUACGUGAUGGAAUGAGGGACCAAAAGUGGAAGAAUAUGAAAUUACAA